CUUGGUGCCAGACGGUCUUGUACAACCACUGAACCCUGAGGCUUCUGUCUUUGUCCUCGCUUGUCUCAACUGUGGGCAACCUGAGACCCCUGUUGACUAGGAAGGGUGGCCUUGGGAGCCUGGCAAAAGAGGAAGGUCUGGGAAAUAUCACACACCAGACAAGCAAAAAGCCAAAACUGGGCAGAACUGGCAGGGGCUGAGGCCAGGUGGUCAUUCUGCACAAUUACCACCAGAGGGCAGGCUUGCCUAGAGAUGAUGGAAAACAGGACGUGGUCAGAGGGCAGCCGUUAGGGGUGGCUGGCUGUGCAGGUAAGAGAGGAAGAGCACGGGGCCCCCACUGUGGGCUAAACACUAUGCUAAGUGCUUCGAGGAAGACAGAGAGGCAGACAGCUGGGGCGGCACCACCUGUGAUCGUGAGCAACCCUGGAAGCUGCACUGUCAACAGCCUGUCACAGGGAAUCACCUCAGGCCACUGCCUCCCCAAAGAGCUGCCCAAUGAACCAGCCUCUGCCCCUCGGGGUCUCUCUGCA
RNAcentral lists this long non-coding RNA (530 nucleotides) under Felis catus (domestic cat). RNAcentral describes it as "lncRNA (ENSFCAG00000052555.1)". The record is from RNAcentral. Lineage: Eukaryota; Metazoa; Chordata; Mammalia; Carnivora; Felidae.